This is a small nucleolar RNA of Fukomys damarensis (Damara mole-rat), 115 nucleotides long. The record is from Ensembl. NCBI's taxonomy places the organism in Eukaryota, Metazoa, Chordata, Mammalia, Rodentia, Bathyergidae.
GAUGAGACUAGUCACACCUUGGCACCACAUUUGUCCUGAUAUGCAAGAGUUCUCGGGGAGAAUCUGCUGGUCUUCAUUCAGUGGUGGAGGCCAUUGGUGCCCAUCAGAAACAUGG